Molecule: ribosomal RNA, 422 nt
Filed under: uncultured bacterium
Lineage: Bacteria
Description: bacterial SSU rRNA
Rfam family: Bacterial small subunit ribosomal RNA
Source: RNAcentral
UAUUGCACAAUGGGCGCAAGCCUGAUGCAGCCAUGCCGCGUGUGUGAAGAAGGCCUUCGGGUUGCAAGGCACCUUCAGCGGGGGGGAAGGCGACAAGGUUGAUAACCUUGUCGAUUGACGUUACCCGCCGAAGAAGCACCGGCUAACUCCGUGCCAGCCGCCGCGGUAAUACGGAGGGUGCAUGCGGUAAUCGGAAUUACUGGGCGUAAAGGGCACGCAGGCGGUCUGUCAAGUCGGAUGUGAAAUCCCCAGGCUCAACCUGGGAACUGCAUUCGAAACUGGCAGGCUAGAGUCUUGUAGAGGGGGGUAGAAUUCCAGGUGUAGCGGUGAAAUGCGUAGAGAUCUGGAGGAAUACCGGUGGCGAAGGCGGCCCCCUGGACAAAGACUGACGCUCAGGUGCGAAAGCGUGGGGAGCAAACAGG